CCUACGGGGGGCAGCAGUAGGGAAUUUUCGUCAAUGGGCGCAAGCCUGAACGAGCGAUGCCGCGUGAGUGAAGAUGGCCUUCGGGUCGUAAAGCUCUGUUGCGGGGGAAAAAAGGCAGCAUCAGGAAAUGGGUGCUGACUGAUGUUGCCCCGCCAGAAAGUCACGGCUAACUACGUGCCAGCAGCCGCGGUAAUACGUAGGUGGCGAGCGUUAUCCGGAAGGAUGGGGCGUGAAGGGUGCGCCGGCGGUCCUGCAAGUCUGGAGAGAAACGCAUGAGCACAACGCAUGCAUGGCUUUGGAAACUGGAGGACUGGAGAGCAGGAGAGGGCGGUGGAACUCCAUGUGUAGCUGUAAGAUGCGUAGAU
RNAcentral lists this ribosomal RNA (365 nucleotides) under uncultured bacterium. RNAcentral's name for it is "partial 16S ribosomal RNA". It matches the Rfam family "Bacterial small subunit ribosomal RNA", at positions 338 to 695 of the family's 1533-position model. The record is from RNAcentral.